GCCAGUGUGGUGUAGUGGUUUGAGCACAGGAUUACGACUCUAGAGAUCAGGGUUCAAAUCCUGGCUCAGCCA
This is a non-coding RNA of Phrynosoma platyrhinos (Desert horned lizard), 72 nucleotides long. The record is from the annotation of a GenBank genome assembly. Lineage: Eukaryota; Metazoa; Chordata; Lepidosauria; Squamata; Phrynosomatidae.